GGGGCGGCGAGGGGCAGCGGGAGGCCAUUUUGGGGGCGUAGUGGCCGCCCGUGACCGCCCCCGCCCGGGCCCCGGCUCCCGCCCCGCGAGCCGCCCGCCGGAGCAUCUUCUCGCCUGAGCAGAAAACAUCUCUCCGGUCCCCCGACGUCAGAGCCUCCUCCACCUCGGGUCGUCUCCUUUUCCCCAGCCUGAGCCAGAACCCCAAUCUAGGAUUCUCUGUCCCCUGGCCUCCACUGCAUGGCUUGAUGAGUGGUGAGCAGGUCUGCACCUGGGAUCCCAACCCAGGAACCACAGGCCACUGAAGAGGAGCUCACGAACUUCACCACCAUCCACCAGGCCAGCCCCACCGCAGUUCUUUCCUCACUUCUUUCCUGAGUUCCCCCAGACUAUCACCACUACCACUAACAACUCUACUGAAAUCAUUUUCUCAAAGAUCACAUGUUAAUCUGUGACCAGUUCCUAAAUGAAGCAGCAGGGAAGGAUACCCAGGAAGAGAAAUUAAAGGUCACCUCAUUUUCUGCACUCUUAAUAUGACCCCCUUGACGCAGUCUGAGGCCACAGAUCACGAUGACAAGAGGAAAUUAUCAGUAAGAAAAGACGGCUCUUAACCCAAGCCCACUCCAGGGUUCAGAAGACCUCGGGCCCGGCCCUCAAUGCCCCGGCCGCCAGCGCCCUCUCCCGGGCGGCGGGCACACAGCAGAGGCGCGCAGGCCGACGCUGCCUUUUCCCGGACUUCAGGACUUUCUCCUCCCGCCGCUCGGCUUCCUUUACUCCCGCCGCGUCCCGCCCGCAGCCGGCGCCUCCGCCCCCGCGCGCCGCCCUGCCCCGGGCGUUCGCGGCUUCCGAGGCCCGGC
Molecule: long non-coding RNA, 854 nt
Filed under: Equus asinus (donkey)
Lineage: Eukaryota; Metazoa; Chordata; Mammalia; Perissodactyla; Equidae
Description: lncRNA (ENSEASG00005034394.1)
Source: RNAcentral